AGCUCAGAUUUGAAAUCGUGUUUCGGCACGAGUUGUAGAGUGUAGGCGGGAGUCUCUGUGGAGCGCGGUGUCCAAGUCCCUUGGAACAGGGUGCCUGAGAGGGUGAGAGCCCCGUAGGGUGCUGCGCGAAGCUUUUGAGGCCCUGCUGACGAGUCGAGUUGUUUGGGAAUGCAGCUCCAAGCGGGUGGUAAAUUCCAUCUAAGGCUAAAUAUUGGCGAGAGACCGAUAGCGAACAAGUACUGUGAAGGAAAGAUGAAAAGCACUUUGAAAAGAGAGUGAAACAGCACGUGAAAUUGUUGAAAGGGAAGGGUAUUGGGCUCGACAUGGGGGGUGCGCACCGCUGUCUCUUGUAGGCGGCGCUCUGGGCGCCCUCUGGGCCAGCAUCGGUUCCUGCUGCGGGAGAAGGGGCUCCGGAAAGUGGCUCUUCGGAGUGUUAUAGCCGGGGCCAGAUGCCGCGUGUGGGGACCGAGGACUGCGGCUUCUGUCUCGGAUGCUGGCAUAACGGCGCAAUACCGCCCGUCUUGAA
RNAcentral lists this ribosomal RNA (526 nucleotides) under Pichia manshurica. RNAcentral describes it as "partial large subunit ribosomal RNA". It matches the Rfam family "Eukaryotic large subunit ribosomal RNA", at positions 106 to 658 of the family's 3401-position model. Lineage: Eukaryota; Fungi; Ascomycota; Pichiomycetes; Pichiales; Pichiaceae. The record is from RNAcentral.